AGUGAACGCUGGCGGUAGGCCUAACACAUGCAAGUCGAACGGCAGCACAGUAAGAGCUUGCUCUUACGGGUGGCGAGUGGCGGACGGGUGAGGAAUACAUCGGAAUCUACUUUUUCGUGGGGGAUAACGUAGGGAAACUUACGCUAAUACCGCAUACGACCUACGGGUGAAAGCAGGGGAUCUUCGGACCUUGCGCGAUUGAAUGAGCCGAUGUCGGAUUAGCUAGUUGGCGGGGUAAAGGCCCACCAAGGCGACGAUCCGUAGCUGGUCUGAGAGGAUGAUCGCCCACACUGGAACUGAGACACGGUCAAGACUCCUGCGGGAGGCAGCAGUGGGGAAUAUUGGGCAAUAGGCGCAAGCCUGGUACAGCCAUACCGCGUGGGUGAAGAAGACCUUCGGGUUGUAAAGCCCUUUUGUUGGGAAAGAAAAGCAGCAGGUUAAUACCCCGCUGUUCUGACGGUACCCAAAGAAUAAGCACCGGCUAACUUCGUG
RNAcentral lists this ribosomal RNA (492 nucleotides) under uncultured bacterium. RNAcentral's name for it is "partial 16S ribosomal RNA". It matches the Rfam family "Bacterial small subunit ribosomal RNA", at positions 29 to 507 of the family's 1533-position model. The record is from RNAcentral.